UACAGAGGUCUCAAGCGUUGUUCGGAUUCAUUGGGCGUAAAGGGUGCGUAGGCGGCGCGGUAAGUCGGGUGUGAAAUCUCGGAGCUUAACUCCGAAACUGCAUUCGAUACUGCCUUGCUUGAGUACUGGAGAGGGAACUGGAAUUUACGGUGUAGCAGUGAAAUGCGUAGAGAUCGUAAGGAAGGCCAGUGGCGAAGGCGAGUUCCUGGACAGUGACUGACGCUGAGGCACGAAGGCCAGGGGAGCAAACGGG
This 253-nucleotide ribosomal RNA is filed under the name uncultured bacterium. RNAcentral describes it as "partial 16S ribosomal RNA". It matches the Rfam family "Bacterial small subunit ribosomal RNA", at positions 524 to 776 of the family's 1533-position model. The record is from RNAcentral.